AAUGAAAUGCCUGAUAAAAGGAUUAUUUUGAUAGAAUAAUUCAUGAAAAUAAAGUUUUUCUUUCAUUU
This is a non-coding RNA of Cephus cinctus (wheat stem sawfly), 68 nucleotides long. Lineage: Eukaryota; Metazoa; Arthropoda; Insecta; Hymenoptera; Cephidae. The record is from the annotation of a RefSeq genome assembly.